Molecule: long non-coding RNA, 585 nt
Organism: Gasterosteus aculeatus aculeatus (three-spined stickleback)
Lineage: Eukaryota; Metazoa; Chordata; Actinopteri; Perciformes; Gasterosteidae
Source: RefSeq, a predicted model, not a curated record
CCAAAGCACUAGGAAUUUCAAAUUCAUAGAAAAGAAAACACGCAAAUCUAGUUAGUGCAGCUACAUACAAGGAGAAGGAAGAAAACUUUUCAAAUCACUUGUUAACUUGGACAUUGGGGCAAAAAGAUAUCCUGAUGGCAGCUUCUGGACAAGAGAAACGUCUCUGUAGCUAUCACGUUAGGAUGGUGGCUAGAAGGGUGGAAAAGCAAAUGCUGAAGCUUCGUUUGGAAACUCUUCUCACGCUUGAUGCUGCGACAGAGAUGAUAAUGGAUGAGAUUCUGGAAGAUCAUAUAACCAUAAUGAAAAUCCUGGAGGACCUCGUCUUAGAGGGAGACACCAGUGACGCUGAACCCUGUUGCAGCGACACCAGCGACGCCAGCGACACAGAUCCCUGUAACGCCCGUAAUGCAGAUGCAGAACCCUGUAACGCCUGCGAUGCAGAACCCUGUAACGCCUGCAAUGCAGAACCCUGUAACGCCUGCAAUGCAAAUGCGGAACCCUGUAAUGCCGACUCCAUUAAAGUAAUGUAAUUUACGUUCAUCUGUGUGCCGCGCCUUAUAAAGAGAGUUCUGUUUCUAAAAAUGC